AGGGUUUGAUCCUGGCUCAGGACGAACGCUGGCGGCGUGCUUAACACAUGCAAGUCGAGCGGAGACAAUUGGCUUCGGCUGAUUGUUUUAGCGGCGGACGGGUGAGUAACGCGUGAGCAAUCUGUCCCAGACAGGGGGAUAACACUUGGAAACAGGUGCUAAUACCGCAUAAGACCACGAGAUCACAUGGUUUCGGGGUAAAAGGAGGAAUCCGGUUUGGGGUGAGCUCGCGUCCGAUUAGCUAGUUGGUGAGGUAACGGCCCACCAAGGCGACGAUCGGUAGCCGACCUGAGAGGGUGAUCGGCCACAUUGGAACUGAGAAACGGUCCAA
RNAcentral lists this ribosomal RNA (331 nucleotides) under uncultured bacterium. RNAcentral describes it as "bacterial SSU rRNA". It matches the Rfam family "Bacterial small subunit ribosomal RNA", at positions 8 to 334 of the family's 1533-position model. The record is from RNAcentral.